AAGUGCAUUUGUUAGAAGUGCUUAUGAACAGAAGUAUUUCCUAGAGAAGCAGUCCAAAAUGAUCCCUAAGUGAUUUUGGGAAAAAGCACACUCAUGUGCUUCUUCAUAAAAUCACUUAUUAUACUCUUAUAUAUAUGGAGAAAUGAUUUUCUAUAGAAUUUAUUAUUGAGCUAUUCAAAAUCACUCUCAAACGAACCCAAAAUCAACUAUAAAUGUAGAAUUAAUACCAACAACAACAAAAAAAAAGAAAAAAAGAAGAAGGUUUGUACAAGUAUAUGUCAAUAAUUUAGCAUCAAUUUAUGGAUUCUAUUAUUGCGUGGCAUUUGAAAACAAGCAUCUAGUUGCUAUCAAGUUGAAAGCCUAAACCUACCCACCUCUAAACCAUCACAUCAUGAGUACGAGAAAUUAAAAAUAAAAUAAAAUUUGGCCAAGAGAAGCACCACCGACUCAAGUGCCUUAUAUAUAAACUUGAAGGUAUAUGUUGUAUUGUAAUUAUAGACAAAAAUACAAAUUUUUAUAUAUAUAUUUAAAUAUAAGCAAUAAUUUUAUAAAGAAAAUGAGAUUUCUAACACACACUGCAAAAAUAUCAUGAAAGUUCAAAUUUAUAACCACUAAUAUAUAAGUGAACGUAAUUUUCUAUUGAGCUAAACUCCACAUAAAUACAGUAUUUUUUAUUGAGAGAAUAUUGGGGACGGUAUGGGAUUUCAGUGAGAGUGGGUCCCUUGCUUGAGUUAGCCGAAUUAUUAAGGACCUCUUGUAUGGCCAGAAUUCCAAAAUUAAUGAAGGUGUCUCGCAAGUAGAUCAGACCCCGACAAUUGGUAGGUCCUGAAUUAAUUGAUGAGAAAAUUUAACACAUCAAAG
Molecule: long non-coding RNA, 861 nt
Filed under: Prunus persica (peach)
Lineage: Eukaryota; Viridiplantae; Streptophyta; Magnoliopsida; Rosales; Rosaceae
Description: long non-coding RNA (PPER_LNC004007)
Source: RNAcentral